AGGGUGAUCGGCCACACUGGGACUGAGACACGGCCCAGACUCCUACGGGAGGCAGCAGUAGGGAAUCUUCGGCAAUGGACGAAAGUCUGACCGAGCAACGCCGCGUGAGUGAAGAAGGUUUUCGGAUCGUAAAACUCUGUUGUUAGAGAAGAACAAGGACGUUAGUAACUGAACGUCCCCUGACGGUAUCUAACCAGAAAGCCACGGCUAACUACGUGCCAGCAGCCGCGGUAAUACGUAGGUGGCAAGCGUUGUCCGGAUUUAUUGGGCGUAAAGCGAGCGCAGGCGGUUUCUUAAGUCUGAUGUGAAAGCCCCCGGCUCAACCGGGGAGGGUCAUUGGAAACUGGGAGACUUGAGUGCAGAAGAGGAGAGUGGAUUCCAUGUGUAGCGGUGAAUGCGUAGAUAUAUGGAGGAACACCAGUGGCGA
This 427-nucleotide ribosomal RNA is filed under the name uncultured Bacilli bacterium. RNAcentral describes it as "bacterial SSU rRNA". It matches the Rfam family "Bacterial small subunit ribosomal RNA", at positions 297 to 718 of the family's 1533-position model. The record is from RNAcentral. Lineage: Bacteria; Bacillati; Bacillota; Bacilli.